UACGAAGGACCCGAGCGUUAUCCGGAUUCAUUGGGUUUAAAGGGUGCGUAGGCGGAUUGAUAAGUCAGUGGUGAAAUCUCCAGGCUUAACCUGGAAACUGCCAUUGAUACUGUCGAUCUUGAAUGUGGUUGAUGUGGGCGGAAUAUGACAUGUAGCGGUGAAAUGCUUAGAUAUGUCAUAGAACACCGAUUGCGAAGGCAGCUCACAAAGCCAUUAUUGACGCUGAGGCACGAAAGUGCGGGGAUCAAACAGG
This 253-nucleotide ribosomal RNA is filed under the name uncultured prokaryote. RNAcentral's name for it is "partial 16S ribosomal RNA". It matches the Rfam family "Bacterial small subunit ribosomal RNA", at positions 524 to 776 of the family's 1533-position model. The record is from RNAcentral.